CAUGUGGCAGAAAUUUAAGGAUCUGUGCGUCUUGGUGCCGAUUCCAAUUGUCUGUUUUAACAAAGACAAUAUGUCACGUAACUAAGAUUUCCCAUUAUUUGGGCCAGGAGGAUUUGCUGACCGUAUAUCUUAAUUUGUCCCCCAAUUGCUAAGAUGGCGACAAAUUAACCAUGUUUCUAAUCAUUACUGAUCUACCCAUUUGAACCCCACGUGAAGGAGAGCCAGAUGCCUUUACGUGGAUCUCCAUAACAACAAAAAGAUGAAGCUUCCUCUCUCCAUCUCUCGUUCCAAGAUGGGGGCAACACUGCGAGAAUCCUUCGUUUGUUUAUUGGCAGGGAAAUCUUUGUCAAAUAGAAUCUUAUAUCUGGUGACCAUGGUCAUUGAACCUAGUCUUCACUUUUGUUUUUUCUUUAUUCCCUGAUAUUUUGUUUUUAGUGGAGUCCUCAUCCUCUCCCAUUCAUGUUUCUCUUUGGCCACGCAAUAUUAAACAAAUCUUCACUCCCCACUUUUAAUUAAAUAUGCAAGUAUGUAUGCAUGCAUAUGUAUCACUUUUAAUUAAAUAUGCAAGUACGUAUGCAUGCAUAUGUAUAGCCUGUAGGAAUAAAUCCUUAUGCUAGAAAGCAUUGUGACGGGAAAAGCUAUUAUAAGCAUG
This 652-nucleotide long non-coding RNA is filed under the name Elaeis guineensis (African oil palm). RNAcentral's name for it is "long non-coding RNA (EGUI_LNC019405)". The record is from RNAcentral. Lineage: Eukaryota; Viridiplantae; Streptophyta; Magnoliopsida; Arecales; Arecaceae.